Long non-coding RNA from Papaver somniferum (opium poppy), 575 nucleotides. RefSeq lists it as uncharacterized. The record is from RefSeq and is a predicted model, not a curated record. The transcript has 2 exons. Lineage: Eukaryota; Viridiplantae; Streptophyta; Magnoliopsida; Ranunculales; Papaveraceae.
UUGGCAACAGAAAGGAAUACACAACAGAUACACACACACUUUUCCCAAAUCACACCAUCUGUGAGCUCAUUCUGUGUUUUUAGGGUUUCAUCAACAGAGGCAUAAGCAAUAAUCUACUAGUAAAAUAUCUACCAUCGGAAAUGAGUGCAUCAUCAUUGAACUCUCCUGAGGUUCUCCAACUUAUUGAGCAAGAAAAACAAAGGGCUAUGGUGAAUGAGAUGGUCGCAAAGCUUACAAACACCUGUUGGGACAAGUGCGUCACUAGUACCCCCGGUAGCAAGUUCAGCUCGAGUGAAUCUAGCUGCAUUGCUAGCUGUGCUCAGCGUUACUUGGACACGAGUAUGCUCAUUAUGAAGCGCUUCCAGAAUAUGCAGCAAUGACUAAUAUUUUUGUAAUGUUCAGCGUUUAGUAUGAACAAUCACCUCAGUAAAGCGCUUCUGCCAUAUUACGUAAUUAGUUGCGCAAACACAAAAAAACCAUGGGAGUAUUUUUCUCUUGGAUGUUAUUGGUUACUUUCAAAUUGAAACUUUACUGAAGAUGCAUAUAUUGGAUAUGUUACUCCUAUCUUCUUUUUC